Molecule: long non-coding RNA, 1284 nt
Filed under: Equus caballus (horse)
Lineage: Eukaryota; Metazoa; Chordata; Mammalia; Perissodactyla; Equidae
Description: lncRNA (ENSECAG00000046090.1)
Source: RNAcentral
GGAGCGCGCCCUCCUCCGCAUCCUUCUGGGGCGAAGGCUCCCUCCGAGGCUGAGGCCGGGUCUUGCUCAACUUCCUCCGCCCCCACCCGCCCCCGGCACUGAGCCCAGAGCUGGCAUCGAUGACAAAAGCGUGAGGGGUGUUUGCCACUGGGAGACGCCAGAGGUGUGUGCCUGAGUGGGCGGCGGGGGUGUCUGGAGGAGUCAUAAGAAUCUCCUUUACAGCAGACACAGUAAAAACCCAUGUUGCCUCUGGCCCGACGACACAGAACUUUCCUGAUGGUGCAGAACCUUGGCUCACACACAGCCGCCUGCAGCCGGUGCAGAGGAAAGCGCUCAGCAUCUGAAGAUUCGACUGCAGUCAGGCUCAGGGACGGGGCGGCCUCCGCCUGUCUGGCCUUCUCAGGUGAUUGAUGGUGGGGACGCAGUGAAAUGCAAGCUCAUCCGGUUGUUUUCAGGUGGUGGGGGCUCUGGAGCCGGACCACCUGAGUUCAGAUCCUUGCCCUACCACUUACCACCUGUGCCCCCUUGGACAAACCCUUCAACCUCACUGGGCCUUGGCUUCCUCCUCUGUAAAAUGGGGGCAAAAACAGACCCUGCCUCUUGUAAGAAGCCCCUUGGCCGGACAUGGCGCACACGCUCAUAACUGCUAGCAGCUGUUAUUGUUAUUAUCAGCACACGAGGACCCCAAUGUCUCAUCAGCUUUGAGGCAAACUCUACUCUCCCUCGGCCCAGAGGAGCUCGGCUUUGAUUGAUCUCCCCGACCUCAGCUCCUUCCCUAGCCCUGCUGCUUGCUCCCUGGGGGUGGGGGCGGGCAUCAGUCUCUCCUGAGUCUCCGGGCACCUCGGUGCAGGGCCCCUUACACAUCUGCCCUGCGGGCUAGGGCCAAAAUUCCUGAACCUCCCUCCUCCCAGAGGCAUCGACAGGACCGGCCCAACUCCAUCCCUCCUUCCCUCCAUCCCUCUAGGUGGGUGCGGGGGCGCAGGCUGACGCUUGCUGGCGCCCAGGCCACUCUGUCCUUCUGCCCUCCCGGUCCAGGUCUGGCUGCCCAAGUGGACUCUUCUCCCUCCUCGGGAGCCCGAGGACCUGGCCUAGCCGGCCCCUUCGGACUAGAUAAACAAAACCAUGCCCCUUUCUCAGCACUCGCUGGCUCUUGUCACCUGAUCCUUUCCCCUCUCAAAGGCUUGGACCGCCUGGAGGAGCAAGUUUGAGGAGAGACUCAGGCCUGGUUGGAGGGGAGAGGGGUCUGGACCCGGGGGGACCAGAAUCAGGCAGUAGUGUUGGUCU